Molecule: ribosomal RNA, 465 nt
Filed under: Vreelandella stevensii
Lineage: Bacteria; Pseudomonadati; Pseudomonadota; Gammaproteobacteria; Oceanospirillales; Halomonadaceae
Description: partial 16S ribosomal RNA
Rfam family: Bacterial small subunit ribosomal RNA
Source: RNAcentral
CCUACGGGAGGCAGCAGUGGGGAAUAUUGGACAAUGGGCGAAAGCCUGAUCCAGCUAUGCCGCGUGUGUGAAGAAGGCCUUCGGGUUGUAAAGCACUUUCAGUGGGGAAGAAAGCCUUGGGGCUAAUACCCUCGAGGAAGGACAUCACCCACAGAAGAAGCACCGGCUAACUCCGUGCCAGCAGCCGCGGUAAUACGGAGGGUGCGAGCGUUAAUCGGAAUUACUGGGCGUAAAGCGCGCGUAGGCGGUCUGAUAAGCCGGUUGUGAAAGCCCCGGGCUCAACCUGGGAACGGCAUCCGGAACUGUCAGGCUAGAGUGCAGGAGAGGAAGGUAGAAUUCCCGGUGUAGCGGUGAAAUGCGUAGAGAUCGGGAGGAAUACCAGUGGCGAAGGCGGCCUUCUGGACUGACACUGACGCUGAGGUGCGAAAGCGUGGGUAGCAAACAGGAUUAGAUACCCCGGUAGUC